AAAGAAAACCCCUCUCAUUCAUAUUUCUACUAAGUAUUUUGGAACCCUUUGCUGACUCAUUUUGCAGUUUUGCUUGCAGCAAAUUCAAAAUUAAGUUACUAGAGAAUAAUGACCAUUAAGUGACUGAGAUUGCUUUAUUUCUCUGAGCCCUAGCAACAGUGAUUUCGCUCGCCUGUUGCCAUAACAACUACGGCAUGCACAUCAAGGUCACUAAGCCCACUUUGCUUCUUGCCUGUAGCUAUGUCUCUGAUGGCUUAUAUGCCUCAUUUUUAUUGUAGAUCCGUAUGCAACGAGUAGGAAGAAAGGGUACAUUUCAUCUUAUGAGUAAACACGCAUACGAUGAGCUUUUCUCAAGCAGAGAUUCUGGCCCAGCUCGCCUGGCAUCACUGAACAUCUUGCCAGAUAAGGCGGAUCAGUCAUCUCAUACUCCGGGAAAGUCCUUGGCACAUCCACCCCAGAGCCCUGGCGGACUCCAGGUCCCAUCAGACACACAAAAAAAAAUUAAAUAGCUGAAAGAGGCACAAAGGCUCAGUGCAAGUCUGAACUGAAAUCAUGGGAGCUUGCCCAGCUUGUGUUUGGUGAGAUGCAGCCUGUAAAGCUCCAGCUGACUACAGGUAUUAAAGACGUGGCGUUUAAUGCUUUUUGGCAGAAAAUAAGCUGAGAUGUAUCUCGGGGAAACAGUACAUUCAAUUGCUGCAGAUUCAGUUGCUUUCCACAAAGCAUCUCCUGUUAUUGCUUUAAUAACCAAAAAGGAAAUCCUGUUAAUCAUAAGUUGCGAGGUUGUAUGAGUUGACAGCUGUGAUAUCCCAGCUGUUGAUAGCUCUGCACGGGCACAGUGAGAUAGCAGAUAAUGCACGUCGUGAUCUUCAACAGGGAAUUGAGUCAGUUGCCUUAUUCUCAUCACACACACACACAAACACACACCCCCAAGAAUGUCACACAUCUUUCUUCUCCUGGUUAUUACACACAUAUCACUCCUACAGGCAGAUGCCAACAUACGAUUAAGGACAUACAGGUGUCGAGCAUGGAUUACCAUUUCUUAGUUUAACAAAGGGCUAUACCAAAAGAAAAUGAAGCAAACAACAAGUCAACCAGAAAGAAUAUAAAGCAAAUAACUGAAUUAAAUCCAUCUCUACUGGGGUGAACUCAACCUGAUUUUUGCCAUUGGGACACACAAAAAAACAGCACCAGCAACCUCAGUUGGCCUGCAACUUCAGUAACCUUUUCUUUUAGACAGUUUUUUAAAGCACAAAGUCCACACGUCAAUGAAAGCACCAGUAUGGCAAAAUUAGUCUGGUUUUGAGACCUGUUUGUAGGAAAAAAACCUUCCUGAAAUGGUGGCUAAUAGAAAGCUUUUAC
RNAcentral lists this long non-coding RNA (1359 nucleotides) under Anas platyrhynchos platyrhynchos (common mallard). RNAcentral describes it as "lncRNA (ENSAPLG00000018187.1)". Lineage: Eukaryota; Metazoa; Chordata; Aves; Anseriformes; Anatidae. The record is from RNAcentral.